GACGAACGCUGGCGGCGUGCUUAACACAUGCAAGUCGAACGAUGAAGAAAAUUAUCGUUGCUUCGGCAGAAAUUCAUGUCGGAUUAGUGGGAGACGGGUGAGUAACCCGUGAGCAACCUACCGCUAACAAAGGGAUAGCGUGGGUAAACCGGGAUUAACACCAUAUAACAUUGCGACGAUGCAGGUAGGUUAAAGUAAAGGUACGGCGGUAAGUGGUGGGCUCGCGUCCCGUUGGCCGGAUGGUGAGGUAACGAGUCACCAUAGGGAGGAUGGGUAACCGGCUUGAGAGGGUGCACGGUCACACUGGAUCUGAGAGACGGUCGAGAGUAAUACGGGAGGAAGGAGGGGAGAAUAAUGCACCAUGGAGGGAAGUCUGAUGGAGCGACGCCGCGUGAGAGAUGCAGGCAUUAGUGACGUAAAACUCUGUUGUAUGUGAAGAAAAGGACUGUACCUUAGGAGAAAGCUCCGGCUAACUACGUG
This 480-nucleotide ribosomal RNA is filed under the name uncultured bacterium. RNAcentral's name for it is "partial 16S ribosomal RNA". It matches the Rfam family "Bacterial small subunit ribosomal RNA", at positions 28 to 507 of the family's 1533-position model. The record is from RNAcentral.